UGGNUGAUCCUGCCGGAGGNCACUGCUCUCUUGGUUCGAUUAAGCCAUGCGAGUCGAGAGGGUUCGGCCCUCGGCGUACUGCUCAGUAACACGUGGAUAACCUGCCCUAGGGAAGGGGAUAAUCCCGGGAAACUGGGGAUAAUACCCUAUAGGUUACAGAUGCUGGAAUGCUCUGUAAUCAAAAGUUCCGGCGCCCUAGGAUGGAUCUGCGGCCGAUUAGGUUGUUGUUGGGGUAAUGGCCCAACAAGCCAGUAAUCGGUACGGGUUGUGGGAGCAAGAGCCCGGAGUUGGAUUCUGAGACACGAAUCCAGGCCCUACGGGGCGCAGCAGGCACGAAAACUUUACAAUGCGGGCAACCGUGAUAAGGGAACCUCGAGUGCCUGUAAAUGCAGGCUGUUCAGAUGCCUAAAACACAUCUGGAGAAAGGGCCGGGCAAGACCGGUGCCAGCCGCCGCGGUAAUACCGGCGGCUCGAGUGGUGGCCACUUUUAUUGGGCUUAAAGCGUUCGUAGCUGGGUUGUUAAGUCUCUUGGGAAAUCUGGCGGCUUAACCGUCAGGCGUCUAAGGGAUACUGGCAAUCUUGGAACCGGGAGAGGUGAAGGGUACUUCGGGGGUAAGAUUGAAAUCCUGUAAUCCUCGAGGGACCACCUGUGG
This 653-nucleotide ribosomal RNA is filed under the name uncultured archaeon. Its description in RNAcentral is "bacterial SSU rRNA". It matches the Rfam family "Archaeal small subunit ribosomal RNA", at positions 5 to 666 of the family's 1478-position model. The record is from RNAcentral.